UACAACGUUCUCACUGCAGUAUUCUCUGAUUGUUGAUUGGCUGAAAACCUGGCACCUGAUACGCCAGUUGCGUGUGAAGUUCAGAGAGAGUUAGGAGCAUAGGUUCGGAGUCGGAGUCGGCACGUGUGAAAGUUUGGAAGACAGUCAAGUAGUUGGGAGGGCCAGAGAGCCAUUGAACUCCACAUUUUGGACAACACUCAUCUGGAGAACAGUAGGAUGUAAAAAAGAGGGAAAGCAAAGGGCCCCUGAUUCUGGGACAUGAUGUAAACUGGACUCAAAUAUGCAUCCUUGUUUUUCAACAGAGUGUAGGACACAUUGCAAAGACAACCUUGUUCUGUUAGCGACUGAAGAGAGUCUAAGGAGUCACGGAGGAUUCUGUUCAAGUUGGAACAUAACCAGUGGUUCAAGACAGCAGAAUAGUCCAAAAGAGGGCAGCAUGCUUCAGUUGAAGAUUGUGUUUCAGGACCAAAGGCUUUGUUCAGGAUGCUGUAUUUCAUUAACUUUGUACUGUACUUAUUUUAAGUCUCCAUUAAAC
Molecule: long non-coding RNA, 535 nt
Organism: Megalobrama amblycephala (Wuchang bream)
Lineage: Eukaryota; Metazoa; Chordata; Actinopteri; Cypriniformes; Xenocyprididae
Exons: 5
Source: RefSeq, a predicted model, not a curated record